Molecule: ribosomal RNA, 468 nt
Filed under: uncultured bacterium
Lineage: Bacteria
Description: partial 16S ribosomal RNA
Rfam family: Bacterial small subunit ribosomal RNA
Source: RNAcentral
GACGAACGCUGGCGGCGUGCUUAACACAUGCAAGUCGAACGGAAAGGCCCUGGUUUUGUGGGGUGCUCGAGUGGCGAACGGGUGAGUAACACGUGAGUAACCUGCCCUUGACUUUGGGAUAUCUUCAGGCAACUGGGGCUAAUACCGGAUAGGAGCUCCUGCUGCAUGGUGGGGGUUGGAAAGUUUCGGCUGUUGGGGAUGGACCCGCGGCUUAUCAGCUUGUUGGUGGGGUAGUGGCUUACCAAGGCUUUGACGGGUAGCCGGCCUGAGAGGGGGACCGGCCACAUUGGGACUGAGAUACGGCCCAGACUCCUACGGGAGGCAGGAGUGGAGAAUAGUGCACAGUGGGCGGAAGGCUGAUGUAGCGACGCCGCGUGGGGGAUAACAUCCUUCUGGUAGGAAACCGCUUUCGUUUGUGACGAAGCGUGAGUGACGGUAAUGGGUAAAGAAGCACCGGCUAACUACGUG